RNAcentral lists this ribosomal RNA (452 nucleotides) under Rothia mucilaginosa. RNAcentral describes it as "bacterial SSU rRNA". It matches the Rfam family "Bacterial small subunit ribosomal RNA", at positions 31 to 493 of the family's 1533-position model. The record is from RNAcentral. Lineage: Bacteria; Bacillati; Actinomycetota; Actinomycetes; Micrococcales; Micrococcaceae.
GAACGCUGCCGGCGCGCUUAACACAUGCAAGUCGACGAUGAAGCCUAGCUUGCUAGGUGGAUUAGUGGCGAACGGGUGAGUAAUACGUGAGUAACCUACCUUUAACUCUGGGAUAAGCCCGGGAAACUGGGUCUAAUACCGGAUACGACCAAUUCCGCAUGGGGUGUUGGUGGAAAGCGUUAUGUAGUGGUUAUAGAUGGGCUCACAGCCUAUCAGCUUGUUGGUGAGGUAACGGCUCACCAAGGCGACGACGGGUAGCCGGCCUGAGAGGGUGACCGGCCACACUGGGACUGAGACACGGCCCAGACUCCUACGGGAGGCAGCAGUGGGGAAUAUUGCACAAUGGGCGCAAGCCUGAUGCAGCGACGCCGCGUGAGGGAUGACGGCCUUCGGGUUGUAAACCUCUGUUAGCAGGGAAGAAGAGAGAUUGACGGUACCUGCAGAGAAAGCGC